GACGAACGCUGGCGGCGUGCUUAACACAUGCAAGUCGAACGGAAAGGCCCUGCUUUUGUGGGGUGCUCGAUUGGCGAACGGGUGAGUAACACGUGUGUAACCGGCCCUUGACUUUGGGAUAACUUCAGGAAACGGGGGCUAAUACCGGAUAGGAGCUCCUGCUCCAGGGUGGGGGUUGGAAAGUUUCGGCGUUUGGGGAUGGAUUGGCGGCUGAUGAGCUUGUUGGUGGGGUAGUGGCUUACCAAGGCUUUGACGGGUAGCCGGCCUGAGAGGGUGACCGGCGACAUUGGGCCUGAGGUACGGCCCAGACUCGAAUGUGAGGCAGCGGUGGGGAAUCUUGCACAAUGAGCGGGAGCGUGAUGCGGAGACGCUGCGUGCGGGAAGACCGCUUUCGGGGUGUAAACCGCUUUCGCCUGUGACGACGCGUGAGUGACGGUACCGGGUAAAGAAGCACCGGCUAACUACGUG
RNAcentral lists this ribosomal RNA (468 nucleotides) under uncultured bacterium. RNAcentral's name for it is "partial 16S ribosomal RNA". It matches the Rfam family "Bacterial small subunit ribosomal RNA", at positions 28 to 507 of the family's 1533-position model. The record is from RNAcentral.